AUACGGAGGGUGCAAGCGUUAAUCGGAAUUACUGGGCGUAAAGCGCACGCAGGCGGUCUGUUAAGUCAGAUGUGAAAUCCCCGGGCUCAACCUGGGAACUGCAUUUGAAACUGGCAGGCUUGAGUCUCGUAGAGGGGGGUAGAAUUCCAGGUGUAGCGGUGAAAUGCGUAGAGAUCUGGAGGAAUACCGGUGGCGAAGGCGGCCCCCUGGACGAAGACUGACGCUCAGGUGCGAAAGCGUGGGGAGCAAACAGGAUUAGAUACCCUGGUAGUCCACGCCGUAAACGAUGUCGACUUGGAGGUUGUGCCCUUGAGGCGUGGCUUCCGGAGCUAACGCGUUAAGUCGACCGCCUGGGGAGUACGGCCGCAAGGUUAAAACUCAAAUGAAUUGACGGGGGCCCGCACAAGCGGUGGAGCAUGUGGUUUAAUUCGAUGCAACGCGAAGAACCUUACCUGGUCUUGACAUCCAGAGAAUCCUGCAGAGAUGCGGGAGUGCCUUCGGGAACUCUGAGACAGGUGCUGCAUGGC
Molecule: ribosomal RNA, 527 nt
Filed under: Cronobacter sakazakii
Lineage: Bacteria; Pseudomonadati; Pseudomonadota; Gammaproteobacteria; Enterobacterales; Enterobacteriaceae
Description: bacterial SSU rRNA
Rfam family: Bacterial small subunit ribosomal RNA
Source: RNAcentral